RNAcentral lists this ribosomal RNA (419 nucleotides) under bacterium. Its description in RNAcentral is "partial 16S ribosomal RNA". It matches the Rfam family "Bacterial small subunit ribosomal RNA", at positions 355 to 776 of the family's 1533-position model. The record is from RNAcentral.
UGGGGGAUAUUGCACAAUGGGCGAAAGCCUGAUGCAGCGACGCCGCGUGGGGGAUGAAGGCCUUCGGGUUGUAAACUUCUUUUGCUCUGAACAAGGCAUGCUAAUGGGUGUGUUGAGUGUAGGGGUUGAUUAGCGCCGGCUAACUACGUGCCAGCAGCCGCGGUAAUACGUAGGGCGCGAGCGUUGUCCGGAAUUAUUGGGCGUAAAGGGCUUGUAGGUGGCUGGUUGCGUCUGUCGUGAAAGCUCAUGGCUUAACUGUGGGUUUGCGGUGGGUACGGGCUGGCUUGGGUGCAGUAGGGGAGGCUGGAAUUCCUGGUGUAGCGGUGGAAUGCGCAGAUAUCAGGAGGAAUACCGGUGGCGAAGGGGGGUCUCUUGGCUGUUACUGACACUGAGGAGAGAAAGCAUGGGGAGCGAACAGG